AGAGGUCACAAAUUUGAGGCCAUAGCAGAAGCACUCAUGGCAUGGCCAUAUCAGAUUCCAACAAAUCUGUGAAUUCUGCU
RNAcentral lists this ribozyme (80 nucleotides) under Crocodylus porosus (Australian saltwater crocodile). RNAcentral describes it as "Mammalian CPEB3 ribozyme (ENSCPRG00005001234.1)". It matches the Rfam family "Mammalian CPEB3 ribozyme". Rfam says of the family: The mammalian CPEB3 ribozyme is a self cleaving RNA located in the second intron of the CPEB3 gene which belongs to a family of genes regulating messenger RNA polyadenylation. This ribozyme is highly conserved and found only in mammals. Lineage: Eukaryota; Metazoa; Chordata; Crocodylia; Crocodylidae. The record is from Rfam by way of RNAcentral.